CUGGCUCAGGAUGAACGCUGGCGGCGUGCUUAACACAUGCAAGUCGAACGGAGAUAUCGGCUUCGGCUGGUAUCUCAGUGGCGGACGGGUGAGUAACGCGUGGGUAACCUGCCUUACACCGGGGGACAACAGUUGGAAACGACUGCUAAUACCGCAUAAGACCACGGAGCCGCAUGGCCCUGGGGUAAAAGAUUUAUCGAUGUAAGAUGGACCCGCGUCUGAUUAGCCAGUUGGCGGGGUAACGGCCCACCAAAGCUACGAUCAGUAGCCGACCUGAGAGGGUGAUCGGCCACAUUGGGACUGAGACACGGCCCAAACUCCUACGGGAGGCAGCAGUGGGGAAUAUUGGGCAAUGGGCGCAAGCCUGACCCAGCCGACGCCGCGUGAGUGAAGAAGUAUUUCGGUAUGUAAAGCUCUAUCAGCAGGGAAGACAAUGACGGUACCUGACUAAGAAGCACCGGCUAAAUACGUGCCAGCCGCCGC
This 483-nucleotide ribosomal RNA is filed under the name uncultured bacterium. RNAcentral's name for it is "bacterial SSU rRNA". It matches the Rfam family "Bacterial small subunit ribosomal RNA", at positions 19 to 518 of the family's 1533-position model. The record is from RNAcentral.